RNAcentral lists this ribosomal RNA (430 nucleotides) under uncultured bacterium. RNAcentral describes it as "partial 16S ribosomal RNA". It matches the Rfam family "Bacterial small subunit ribosomal RNA", at positions 29 to 506 of the family's 1533-position model. The record is from RNAcentral.
AGCGAACGCUGGCGGCAGGCUUAACACAUGCAAGUCGAGCGCCCCGCAAGGGGAGCGGCCGACGGGAGAGUAACACGUGGGAACAUACCUUUUGGUUCGGAACAACUGAGGGAAACUUCAGCUAAUACCGGAUAAGCCCUUACGGGGAAAGAUUUAUCGCCGAAAGAUUGGCCCGCGUCUGAUUAGCUAGUUGGUGAGGUAACGGCUCACCAAGGCGACGAUCAGUAGCUGGUCUGAGAGGAUGAUCAGCCUCACUGGGACUGAGACACGGCCCAGACUCCUACGGGAGGCAGCAGUGGGGAAUAUUGGACAAUGGGGGCAACCCUGAUCCAGCCAUGCCGCGUGAGUGAUGAAGGCCUUAGGGUUGUAAAGCUCUUUUGCCCGGGAAGAUAAUGACGGUACCGGGAGAAUAAGCCCCGGCUAACUUCGU